RNAcentral lists this ribosomal RNA (787 nucleotides) under uncultured archaeon. RNAcentral's name for it is "bacterial SSU rRNA". The record is from RNAcentral.
GUUGUUCCCCAACAAUUACACAAAAUGUCAAGCGGGCGAGGGUAAUCCCCGGAAAGUGAACUUAAACGCCUCCCUGCCGCCCUGUUUGAAAUGGGUAACGACUUAUCACUAAAUGUGCCCUGUUUUGGACUGGGACCGAUCAGGCUGUUGGUGAGUUUGCUCCCCCCAAACCUGCCCUCACCACGGGCUCUGAUAUGAGGAGCCCCCAUAUGGGCUGUGGGACUUCAAUGGAUCACCUGAUUUGCCCCCCACGCGCCAAACCUCUGCUGCCUCUCCCAGCUCCUAGGGUUACUCUGAUUGAUUUCCGUUAAGGAGAUCUUUUGGGAUUCUAAAAAAGACUUGUAAAAACGGGUGGGGAAGUUUGGUGUCCACUAAACGUCCCAACCCCUCACCCCGAUGGGAUUGCACCUUUAUUGGGCCCAAAACAUGCGUACCCCGUUUUCUGCAUCAUUUUUUAAAUCCACCUGCUUUCUCCAUGGGCUGAAUAACAUACUAUAAACCUGUGAAGCUUUAGACGAUAGCGGUAGUUUCUGGCCAGGGGUAACACCCAUUGAUUCAUUCCUUGUCACCAUGCCCAUCUGCGGCUUGCUCCUCUCCGAUCCACUAUCAGUUAUGAGUGCUGUGGGAGAAUACCUCACUAAAUACCUGAUUAGUCGCAGUUGUAUCCGAUGCACACAUAGUGAUGAGUCGGUACACUGUUCACACGUGGUGACAUAGCACGCGUUAUCUUCGCUUUCUGGAGGUUACCGACGCCCGACUGGCACGUAGACGAAUUGUUACGGAAGCA